GAUGAACGCUGGCGGCGUGCUUAACACAUGCAAGUCGAACGAAGCACUUUAUUUGAUUUCCUUCGGGACUGAUUAUUUUGUGACUGAGUGGCGGACGGGUGAGUAACGCGUGGGUAACCUGCCUUGUACAGGGGGAUAACAGUUGGAAACGGCUGCUAAUACCGCAUAAGCGCACGGCAUCGCAUGAUGCAGUGUGAAAAACUCCGGUGGUAUAAGAUGGACCCGCGUUGGAUUAGCUAGUUGGUGAGGUAACGGCCCACCAAGGCGACGAUCCAUAGCCGACCUGAGAGGGUGACCGGCCACAUUGGGACUGAGACACGGCCCAAACUCCUACGGGAGGCAGCAGUGGGGAAUAUUGCACAAUGGGCGAAAGCCUGAUGCAGCGACGCCGCGUGAGCGAAGAAGUAUUUCGGUAUGUAAAGCUCUAUCAGCAGGGAAGAUAAUGACGGUACCUAACUAAGAAGCACCGGCUAAAUACGUG
Molecule: ribosomal RNA, 481 nt
Filed under: uncultured bacterium
Lineage: Bacteria
Description: partial 16S ribosomal RNA
Rfam family: Bacterial small subunit ribosomal RNA
Source: RNAcentral